CAGCAGCCGCGGGAACACGAAGGGUGCAAGCGUUAAUCGGAAUUACUGGGCGUAAAGCGUGCGUAGGCGGUGAGUUAAGUCUGCUGUGAAAUCCCCGGGCUCAACCUGGGAAUGGCAGUGGAUACUGGCUCGCUAGAGUGUGUCAGAGGAUGGUGGAAUUCCCGGUGUAGCGGUGAAAUGCGCAGAGAUCGGGAGGAACAUCAGUGGCGAAGGCGGCCAUCUGGGACAACACUGACGCUGAGGCACGAAAGCGUGGGGAGCAAACAGGAUUAGAUACCCCUGUAGUCCCUGUCUCUUAUAC
This 301-nucleotide ribosomal RNA is filed under the name uncultured bacterium. Its description in RNAcentral is "partial 16S ribosomal RNA". It matches the Rfam family "Bacterial small subunit ribosomal RNA", at positions 509 to 807 of the family's 1533-position model. The record is from RNAcentral.